RNAcentral lists this ribosomal RNA (253 nucleotides) under uncultured bacterium. RNAcentral describes it as "partial 16S ribosomal RNA". It matches the Rfam family "Bacterial small subunit ribosomal RNA", at positions 524 to 776 of the family's 1533-position model. The record is from RNAcentral.
UACGAAGGACCCAAGCGUUAUCCGGAUUUAUUGGGUUUAAAGGGUGCGUAGGCGGGUUAUUAAGUCAGUGGUGAAAGCUUCCGGCUCAACCGGAAAAUUGCCAUUGAUACUGAUGAUCUUGAGUAUGAUUGAGGUGGGCGGAAUGUGUCAUGUAGCGGUGAAAUGCUUAGAUAUGACACAGAACACCGAUUGCGAAGGCAGCUCACUAAGCCAUAACUGACGCUGAUGCACGAAAGCGUGGGGAGCAAACAGG